Molecule: ribosomal RNA, 497 nt
Filed under: uncultured bacterium
Lineage: Bacteria
Description: partial 16S ribosomal RNA
Rfam family: Bacterial small subunit ribosomal RNA
Source: RNAcentral
GAUGAACGCUGGCGGCGUGCCUAAUACAUGCAAGUCGAGCGAACAGACGAGGAGCUUGCUCCUCUUACGUUAGCGGCGGACGGGUGAGUAACACGUGGAUAACCUACCUAUAAGACUGGGAUAACUUCGGGAAACCGGAGCUAAUACCGGAUAACAUGGUGAACCGCAUGGUUCAACAGUGAAAGACGGUCUUGCUGUCACUAAUAGAUGUAUCCUCGCCGCAUUAGCUAGUUGGUAAGGUAACGGCUUACCAAGGCAACGAUGCGUAGCCGACCUGAGAGGGUGAUCGGCCACACUGGAACUGAGACACGGUCCAGACUCCUACGGGAGGCAGCAGUAGGGAAUAUUCCGCAAUGGGCGAAAGCCUGACGCAGCAACGCCGCGUGAGUGAAGAAGGUCUUCGGAUCGUAAAACUCUGUUAGUAGGGAAGAACAAAAGUGUAAGUAAAUAUGCACGUCUUGACGGUACCUAAACAGAAAGCCACGGCUAACUACGUG